CAGACUGAAUCAUGUUCUCUUUAUGCAAUGGUGUUUUACAUGUUAGCACAGACAAGUGGCAUCUAGAAGAGAAGCCAAUCCUUUUCUGUUGUUUUUGUUCCUACUCUGGUAGCGCCUUUGGUCAAGGUCUGUGUCCUAAGUGUAUACAGAUGAAAUAACAGCAAGACUCUGGCCUGGAUCAUUUAAGCCUCAAACCUUAGCAUUGCAGAUAGGUAGACAGAACUAACUAGGAUGUGAAUCCCUGAACCCUUGUUUGAUUUUUUUUUUUUUUUUUUUUUUCCCAAAACAGACCAGGGUAGAAGUUAGAAAUGGUCUCUAUCUCCAUUUCAUAAUUUGAAAAGUACUGUUUGUAGACAUAUAGACAGACAGCAGCUAAGUUAAUAUAUAUAUACAUGCAUAUAUAUAUGUAUAAAUAGUUGCGUAACAUACAUAGAAACUAAAUUGUUUAUCUGAGGUUACAGAUUAUAUAUGUGGAAGAGACGUGGUUUGAACUUACUCAGUUUAACUCCACAGUGCUGUCUCUUCUGCACUUACUCAACCCAGGACUUGACUGCUAAGCAUAUUGUUUCUUUCAUUGUGUCUCUCCCAAGACCAAGACCUCCCUGCAGGUCUGUGGUCUUGUGGCCAACUGGAGAAAGACCAAUGCACCUCCUGAAGGCAUCUCACAUAGCUUACUCCAUCUCACAUGGGAUAAGAUGGCUGCAAAGAAAUAAGCAGAUGGAUAAAUAGUUGCAUAACAUUUAGGUAGCUGAUGGUAGCUGUGGCCAUGGGGGAGCCCAUCCUUUAUGACUGCUUUAUGCUUGUCCAUAGCCUCAGUGAAUUCCCUAAAUCUUAAACUAAGAAAGUGUGGGUCUGUACAGAAUUAUUGUUAGUUCUCUUCAGGUCUCACCUCUCAGCUUGUCAUUACUGGAUAUCUGAAUUAUUUUUUACUGAGCCAAAUUUAGACCAUUAUUCAUAUAACUUAAACAUUAAGUGCUGUUGAUUGGCAUUCAGUGCCUUGGGGGAUGCAAUGUGACAAAAAAGCAAACAGCUUGCUCAUCAGUAAAUAAGAACUAAUACAGAUGGCUUUCUUACAGCUAAAGUUCCAUUUACUUUGAAAAAUUAAUGAUUUAUUCUAUUAAAAUAUCUCUCUGGAAGUACACUUUAUUGAGUUAUUGGCUGACAUUUUGAUUUUCUUCAUCAGGGGAAAUGAAACACACAAACACUGUAACCUUUCCUUUUGCAUUCAAUGGUAUGUGAUGAAGGUCACAAUGCAGUUACUAUAGUUUUUCACUCUGGUAUUACAUUGUUUAAAUAAUGUCAUAAUGUUAUUUUUACAUAGUUGGCAGUUUAUGGGUUCUCUGUAUUCAAGCUGUGAUUUUUGUAUUUCCUGCUAUGCUUGAUCAUUAUUGUAAUACUUUGAUGUCAGUAAUCAAUUUGUAUGUUUUUUUCUUUUUUUUUUUUUUUUUUUUUUUUAAAGCACACAGAUCUCAGCACAUGCAGCCCAAUUAUCUGUACAGAAUAAUUCCUCUUUGCUUCUAUAACUGUGUCUUGCUCUGAAUUCUCACCGAGCAAGGUAUAACUCCAGGAAUGGUAGAAGUGCAGAAGUGGUAGAAUUAAAGCUAUGAAGUAGGCUUUAAACUUAAGCAUUUAAGUAUGCUGAAGUGGUUCAGGAGUCUCUCAUCUUUUUGAAAUUCAGUGGAACUCAGAUUCUUAAAUGCCUGCCUGACUUUUAAAAAAUGAGACUUAC
This 1729-nucleotide long non-coding RNA is filed under the name Anas platyrhynchos platyrhynchos (common mallard). RNAcentral's name for it is "lncRNA (ENSAPLG00000019288.1)". Lineage: Eukaryota; Metazoa; Chordata; Aves; Anseriformes; Anatidae. The record is from RNAcentral.